CUCUCCUCCCUCCCCCCAGCUCUCCCUCCAGGUUUUUCCCCCGCCCCAAGAAAAAUUAGGUAAAGAAAAUGUUACAGGCUUAGUGGAGGUGGGGAUAGGCCAGAAAAAUAUGGAACGGUUUUUUUUUUUCAGGAAAGGGGGAAUGAGACGUGCCAAAUUUAAGAAGGGAUAUGAAAAACGAGGAUUGGAUUGAAUUGAGAAUGGAGAAGGGAUGCGACAUGCCCAAUUGCACCGGGGGCAUGCAAAUUGCGGACCGGAUUCCACCCUGGAAAACGGAAGACUGCGUCAUGCCCAAUGCAGUGAGAACAAGAAAAAGCCAGGUAAGAGGCUGACUGAAGAUGUCGAAGAAUAGGAAGCUCUUGCUCUUUUGCUUUGGACUCUGCAAGUCCAGGAGAGAAUGAGGACACAGGCACACCUGAAGAUGGAAGAUUAGCCACCAGAAGUGAAGGUCGCUCCUCUUCAUCUGGAGGAGAUCAGGUAAUCAAAGCAGAAGAUGGAAAUUGCUGUGCCCUGGUACAGAUGGAAAUCACCCUUUGUUCCUUUCCCUCAGGGGAUACAUACAGCCGGAGAUGGAAGGCAUGUGGUCAGAAGAAGGUAGGUUCUUCUCAUCUGAGGUACAAUAGGAAGUACAAGUCUCACAGGUACAGGGGGAGAUGAAAAUAGAAUUGACACAGAUGGCAGUCCUCCCUCCUCCACCUUUGUUACCAGAUCUCCCAUUCUUGAUGUUAGAGAUGUAGAUGAAGAUUUUGAAGCUUUAACUUGGGAUCCAGGGCAUAAAAUGUCAUAAAAUCAUCCACCAAAUGGAUCUAUAUUUUAUGAAAGUUCUGAGAUAGGUGGUAUAGGGGAUCCAUUAACGUAAAAGAUGGUUCUACCUUCAAGGAGCUUAUAUCUAGUUGGAAAGAGAAGACCCUCACAUGUCAAAUUUUUUUUUAGUUUACUGCUCAAAUAGUGGCACAGAGAGCAAAAAUUUUAAAAUAAUUAGCUCAACACCCAAUUAGUGGCAGAGACAAUAAAUAAAAAUAAUUACUUCAAUGCCUAAUUAGUGGUAUAGGCAAUAAAUUAAGAAUAAUUAGUUUGAUGCCCAAUUAGUGGUAUGGUUAGUAAAUAAAAAUAAUUAGUUCAAUGACCAAUUAGUGGUAUAGACAGCAAAUAUUAUUAUAUCAGAUCAGAGGAGGGAGUGUUCAUUGGGGGCUGGUGUGGUCAGACAAGGCUUCCUGGAAGAAAUGGAACUUGGUCUGGACAUUAAAAGAUGGAUAUUUGAUCAGCUGUAAAUGGAGAUAGAGGUAGAAAUAGGAAGGAACAUUCAGGGCACAGAGACAGGACCAGGCCAACAGGAGUAGAGGAUUCAAGACACAGAAUAUUUUGAUUCAUCACAGGAUUUGUAAUUUUAGAGUUUCCCCCCAAUGAAAAAGAUUGCCACCCACUGCUGCCUUCUCAUCCUGUUCCCACUUAUAUUCACUUUUAGGUCUUCUUCCUACUGAGGAUUGGCCCAUUGUAAUGGAGGCUGCCUUCUGGGCCUUUUAACAUUUUGAAGGUACCAGAGUAAAACUCAUGCUGUCCAUCUGUUAUUCUGUAUUCCCAUACUCAUAUUUCCUUAGUGAUAUAUCCCUUAUGUCAAUGGGACUAAAUGUGAACAGAUCCCUGUUCCUGGAUAUUGA
Sarcophilus harrisii (Tasmanian devil) is the source of this 1658-nucleotide long non-coding RNA. RefSeq lists it as uncharacterized. The transcript has 3 exons. The record is from RefSeq and is a predicted model, not a curated record. Lineage: Eukaryota; Metazoa; Chordata; Mammalia; Dasyuromorphia; Dasyuridae.